Molecule: ribosomal RNA, 378 nt
Filed under: uncultured Thermus sp.
Lineage: Bacteria; Thermotogati; Deinococcota; Deinococci; Thermales; Thermaceae
Description: bacterial SSU rRNA
Rfam family: Bacterial small subunit ribosomal RNA
Source: RNAcentral
AAAGCCUGGGUGCCCGCGAGGGGAGCCCUAGCACAGGUGCUGCAUGGCCGUCGUCAGCUCGUGCCGUGAGGUGUUGGGUUAAGUCCCGCAACGAGCGCAACCCCCGCCGUUAGUUGCCAGCGGUUCGGCCGGGCACUCUAACGGGACUGCCCGCGAAAGCGGGAGGAAGAGGGGACGACGUCUGGUCAGCAUGGCCCUUACGGCCUGGGCGACACACGUGCUACAAUGCCCACUACAAAGCGAGGCCACCCGGCAACGGGGAGCUAAUCGCAAAAAGGUGGGCCCAGUUCGGAUUGGGGUCUGCAACUCGCCUACAUGAAGUCGGAAUCGCUAGUAAUCGCGGAUCAGCACGCCGCGGUGAAUACGUUCCCGGGCCUU